UGAAGUCCAAAACACUUGGAGGGAAGGCCCAAGUUUGCCCACGCCUGGUGUAAAUGGUUCUAUUGAGAGCUGGGCCUCUAGUGAGGCGGUUGGGCCUGUUUAUGACGGCUCCCCCGGUUGCCUAGCAACCAAGGGGUCUGGAUGCUCACCGUUGGCCUGCCUGGACGGCGCCUCCUUCGGACGGAGCCGAGAUGGUGCCGGCGCUGCGCUCUCGGGGGCCGGCUGCCUCCGCCCGAAAGGGGGGCGAUGGGCUAUGGCCCCAGCGCCCCCAGGCCCCCCUGACGCGCUUCCCCGAGUGAGGGAGCGAGGGAGCGAGCCACUCAGCCGCCAUGAGCCGGAACCAGCCUCGCGCCCGCCUCGAGCCCCGCGAUUUAGAGGCACACGAUAGUAAAUUCCCAGAGAUUGCAAACCUUCAAGAAUCCGAACAUAUCACUUCUCAGCCACUGAAAGAACAAAAAUUGCCAAUGCUAACAUCUGACCACAGAUUUCUGGAUACCAAAGUCUCAGGAAAAUCAUCCAGCAGUUGUCCCUUUGAGAAUGGUUCAGAAAAUGCAUUGAUAAAGUCGAAAAGGAUAAAACAAGAAUAUGCACCUGCAUAUGGCUUGAGAGAUUGUGGUGAAAAUGUUGCAAUGCCAAGUCUUCCUUGGAGAUCUGAGAGAUCUUCUGCAAAACGGAACCUCUCUCCUGUUGCUCAGAAAAGGCAAGGUGCUACUAAUUCAUUUUUAAACAGCUCUUCCAGUAAUGAUGAGCCCAGUUUGCCACCUUUGUAUUUGCUUCCACCUUCUUCAUCGAAGUAUUUUCUUGAAAGCUACUACAAAAGCAAAGAGAGAGGCAUGGGGGAUACGAAUAAAAGAGGGCCGGGUUCUUGGAAACUAGGCCCUCUGAAGACAUCAGGGAUGCGCGGUGGAGUGGGAGACUUAUCUGCUGUGAGGUUGAAAAAACACAACCGGUGUUCCAGUCUAAUUUCCUUUCCAGAAGUGUCCAAAUUAAAAUCUGGUAACUGCUUCAAGAAUCCUGUUAUAGGAGCUCCUCCGCAGUACCUCCAACGGCUCUCUGAACUAGCCGCUUUGGAACGUGAAACCAUUCAAGAGAAAAUUAGAAAAUUCAGGAAAACCAAGAAAGACUUGUAG
Long non-coding RNA from Anolis carolinensis (green anole), 1130 nucleotides. The record is from Ensembl. Lineage: Eukaryota; Metazoa; Chordata; Lepidosauria; Squamata; Anolidae.